RNAcentral lists this non-coding RNA (398 nucleotides) under Pongo abelii (Sumatran orangutan). Lineage: Eukaryota; Metazoa; Chordata; Mammalia; Primates; Hominidae. The record is from RNAcentral.
CUGAGUGGGCAGAGGACGGCCCGGAGUCUCGUAGCGCACCGCCCUGGUCCCACACCCCCCGCAGCCCUAGGAGGAUCGAUGUGCUGAGCUUGUGGCGAGGAGCUCCCCGAGCCACUUUCGCGCGGGCGGCAGAAAACCUGAGCCGCGACCCGGCGAGUGUCGGCGGCGCUCUGGGGAGGAGAGGCUGGGAAGGGGCUGCGAGAGAUGCUACUUAAGAACGUGAGGCUGAGAGGCGGGCUUGGUCAGAUCUGCCUGCGUGACAAGCUCAGGACGCUUCUGCCCUUGCAUUACUGUUGUAAAAGUUUCCACCCAGUCCCUGGUUGCACUGCUUUCCCAUCCCGGCAGAUGUGAACUCAAAAACUUCCUCCGCUGUGCAGUUUCAAUUGGCAGACACACCC